CUAUAGAAGAUUCAUCGAUGAAUUUUCGAUGUCAAUAUCGAUAGAAAUUGAAGUUUAUCAACAGUAUUAUUUAUUAGGAUUGUCGUGCAAUAUAGAAUAAGUGAAUAGUAAACAUUCGAUAAUAAUUUUUGAAGCAAUAUAAUACGAAGCUUUCGUCCAAAAUAUUUGUCAUCAACAAUUUUAAAGAUAUUCGAAUGAAUCGACUUAAAUGAAGACCUUGAAUAACAUAACGUAACGAAUGUGAUAAUAAUAUUAUUAAGUGGAAAAUGCGAAAUCAAAAAAAGGAAAAAUAUUGGCCGUCUCGAAUCUUCGAGUCCACACUUAACGAGAGUGGUUUUUGUCGAAGCGAGUACACUCGGUAAGAUUUCAUAUAAAAUACGAGCGAUCAUAAGCGUCGUAUCGUGGCGGCUAUAAAUUCGUUUCUCCGCCACGAUUUAUUGCUCUUUCAGUUCGUUCGAAAGCCGAUCGCAAUGAGACAGGAUCGUUCCUUCGUUUCCGAAACGGAGAAUUCAUGAAGAAAGGGAGAGAAACUAAGAAAUAAAAAUCGAAACUCAAAGAAUUUUUAAAUUUCCAAAUUUUUUUUUUCAAUUUUCAAGACACGAAAUCUUCAAAUAGGAAAAAAUUUUGGAAAUUGUAAGUUUUUCUAUUUUAUAAUUUUUUAAAUUUAGAGAAAAUAAAAAUAGGAGAAAAUAAAUCAAAAACAAAAGAUAAAGGAAAGAAGGAAUAUAAAAAUUGAAAGAAUAAAUAUUCUAGUCAAGAAAAAAAGGUAUGUAAGUAUAUAUGUAUAAAGUGAAAAAGAUGGAGAGAGAAAAUAUAAAAAGAAAAUAUGAAAAGGAUAAAGAUAGUAAUAUUGCAAAAAGAAAAUAGAAAGUGAGUAGGAAAAGAUUACAUCAGAGAUGAAAUCACAUGUUGGUCCAGAAAUAAAAAAUGAAAGAAUGAAAAUAUGAUAGAAAGAAUAUAAUAUGAAAAAAUUGAGUUUUCAAAAACAAAGUUAUUGAAAAAUGAAAAAAAUAAAGAUUUAAAAAUCAUUCUUCAGGAAAAAAAUAAUGAUGCACAAAUAUAACAUAAUAGUAAAUAAAAAAAGAUAAAUAAAAUAAUAAAAAUAUAAUAUUUAAGAAAUUGAAAAAAAAAUAUAAAAGAAAGAGAAGAGAAGAAGAAAUCAAGAAGUUAAAAGUAACACAAGAAGAAAUAAAAAAAGAAAAGAGGAAAGAAGUCAAAGGAGUAAAAGCGAUCGAAAAUAAUCGAUAUCAAUAAUGUGCACAGACUCGAUGAGCAAAAAAGAAUUAUAUUUACAAUGGCAAUAACUUUCUCGUAGGAAACGAUGCAUCGUAGGAGAUCUUGUAUGAAUUGUACUUGGAGAUAAAGAAAAGUUUAUAGUAUAUAAUUACGUUUCUUGAAAUAUAGAUAGUAUAGAAAGUUCUUUGAAAGUAUUUCUUCCAUUUAAUAAUAGUCCUACGUGAUAUAGUAUAUUUGAUCUUUGAAUAGGAUAAGUCUUUGAAUCUUCGAACGCAAAAACUAUAAAAUUAUCCAAUUUUCAAUCUCGAAUUUUUUAAAUUAAAGAAUUUUAAAUUAAAUUUCAAAUUUUAGAUUUUCACAUUUUAAAAUUAAAAACUUAAUGACUUUUAAAUUCUUGAAAAAAUAUUCAAACAUAUAAAUUUCUAAAUUUUCCAAUUUUCAAUUUUCAGUUGAUCCAAAAUUUCCAAAUUUUCAAAUAUUUAAAUCUUCAAAUUUCUUUCAAGAUUUCAAAGAUAAAAAAUUUAGAAAAAUUUUUGAAAGUGGUAAAAAACGAUUUGAACUCCAUUACUUCGUUAUACUCACUUUGCAACCCUCGCAACUGGUUACACCGUAAUGAUAACCGCUCGCUUUGUCACCGCAAACUCUACAGGCCACGAAACUCUUCGCGGGCGUCGAACUGUUCGAAUCGGCAGCCGCGUAGUGUUGUUCUGGAAAACAAAACAGUUACAUUAUGUAACACGAUCGUCAUUCGUGGAAUUAGGUAAACCGUAGUACAUUAUUGCACCGUAAUACAUAUCUUUAUCUCUUCGUAGAGACGAGAAACUCCUUCGAAUAACUUCCGAUUUAACCGUGAACGUGUAAAAACUUAAAAUAAUCGAAUUUAAUAUAUCGUGCAGUUUUAAAAUCUUUAAAAUAUUUUUAUUAGAAAAUUUCAUUGGUGAUUUUACGUUAAAAGAAAAAUAAUUAUGCGAUCAUAUUAUUUAUAUCGUAUCGAUCAAUUCACGAUUUCUUUAUACUUAUAUCAUUCAAUCAUUUCUGAUAAAAUUUUACCAAUUUUUUCCAUCAACAUGUAAUGUAACUUUCAAUAUUUCUCAAACCUCUUAAGAAUUUUAACUUUCUUCAACUAUGCACAGAAUAGAUUAUACUUCGCUUAGAUUAUGGACACUAAUUUAUCAUGCAACCAUAACUUAAAUAUAAGUGCAAUUAGAGAACCGUUGAUUAUAUACCUGUUAUUACCAGAUAACUUUACCUGGAGACCAAACAUUAAUUAUACAGACCAACGAUAAUCAAUCGAACAAGAAGCAAUAAAUCUUGCCGCGUUAACAUCAUAUCUUAUUCAUUGCAAUAAUUAUUUCGUAGAAAUCCGGCAAAAAUUAUAUCACCUCCCUCGUUUCGCAAUUUUAUCUCAUCCGUCUCACAUAAUCGAAUACAGAAAAAAAAAAAAAGGAAAAGAAGCAAUUUUACAUCCUCCACUCAUCGGUUCGCCACGUUCUCCAACGAAUCAUGUCCAAUUGGUCAUAAACACGCUUCUCAAUUUCGUGUUUCCGCGCGAUUAUCUUCGAUUCGAGCGAAAUGGACGGGAUCUCGCCGGUGCCUUCCUUCUUUCUAACAAUCAAAAAACGAGCACGAAGCGCGUGAACGUAACGGCACCGCCUCUCGAUGGAAACGGUCACGCGUACUCAGGAUGGGAGAAAGGACGAGGAAAAAAGGACCAGAGUGUCGGGCUCUAGCCAAAUAGAGACGAGUUGAAACGGAGAUGACGGACAAGAUGGAAACAAGGAGAAACGGAAUGCAAAGCGACAAUCGAAUCAAGAUAGUUGACACAUUACGGUUUUCGAAAGAAUUAAUCUUCUGUGUGGGGACAGAUGACAAUGAAGGAAUAAUUGAAAUAGAUAAUAAUAAUAUUUGUAUCAUCGUUAUUUUGUCUGAUUAAUUUCAUUUGAAAUUUCAUUUGUUUCUAUGAUGAUGUAUAUUGAAUAUUAUUUGGAUUAAUAUCUUGGAUUUCUUUUGAACAGAUAUUUCAUACAUGAAAUAUGAACAAGAAAAAUAGAAUCUCACCUUAUACAAUAUCACCAAUUACAAAAUAUAAUCGUGUCUCAAAAAAAAAAAAGAAAAAUCAAGAGAUACGAAAAAAGCAGAGCAACGAAGAAGAGAAUGAAAAGAACAGGAGAAGAAGGAACGACGUCUCGUGGUUCCAUCGACGUCUCGACGAGAGGAUACACGUCGUCGGUCCACCAUGGUGGAUUUCUUCCAUUCGUCCGACGUUGCAUCCAUAAUGCAACGACGAUCGCCACCACAGGAAGGGAAAAGGCUUGCUCCUGCUGGCUGUGCACGCGGUGGUUCGUAUAACGGAAAGGCUGCGUCACCGUUACACACGGGGAACACACACCACGGCCGUGGAAAAGAGCAGGCAGACGAGGAAGGAGGGAAGGGGAGGAGAGGCGCGCGGGGAGGAGAUGAGAGAAGAAAAAGGAAGAGGAAAAAGGCGAAACGGGGCCGUCCGCAAAGGGAGUGCACAGGGAACCGUAUAGGAGUAGUCCGGAACAUUAUAGUGUAUACCGUUCGAGUCUCGUGAAAUCCUGCCAGAAGAUGUCGUUACGCGGGGGUCAGGGGGUUGGAGAGAGAUGGAAAAGUUGAUGGAAGAAAUAUGGCGGCAGGGAGAGGAUAGGCAAGCAAAAGAGAAGAGCAAGAGGAAACUGAGGGGGAUGGAUGGAAGCGUGCAGGUUGAUCGUAGUGUCUGGAAACGGGGCCCGAUCUGUGUAUACGAUUUUAUGACGGCCGUUAAAGGCUGUCGUCGAGGUUAGGUUAGGUUUGGAUAUCGAUGCCGGCUGCGAGUAGUUUUACGAGAUUUUGUUUAUUUCGAUUUUACGAAUGUUUGAAUGUAUAUUUGACAAGCUGUAGGUAAUUGAUCGUUUGAAGUGAACGGUUCCUUUUUUUGAAAACUGUUCAUAUAUGUAUUUCAAUAUUGAAAGAAAUUUGUUACCACUGUUAAAGAAAAAUUUUGUAAAUAGUUAGGAGAAGAUAUUUCUAGGUUUGAAUGAAUCAUUGAUACAGUAUGGACUUUUUCUCCUCGAUAAGAUCUUAUUAAGCUUGGAAGUAAGCGUGAAAUAAGAUGAUUUCCAAAAGAUCUGCUAUAAAAUUACAUGAGAAAUGUACAAUCUAAAAUAUAUUUAAUGAAACUUUCAAUAAAAAAAAUAGAAUUGUCUAAAUAGAAUUAAAUUAGAAUCCAAAGUUGAUUUUCUCGUGAAAAUAAUUCAGUUAAAAAUGGCUCAUGUUUUUUAUUAGACCAAGCACGGUAAAUAAUAUUCUCGAUCGAAAAUAAUCCGAUCAAACAACUCGAGUUAUUUUAGACAUCUCCAAAUUAAAUUUUGAAAUUAAAUUUGGUUAAAACGACGAGAAUACUCUUAAUAUUAUUUAUUUUCUUUUGUUGUCGAAUAGAAACACCCUCGAGUUAAUAAAACCAAUUUAUGUAGUUGAAAGGCCGAACAAUCAGCCAACUCUGCUAAUCAGAGAUUUAUUCUUAAACAGUGAAACAUACGCGCAAGGUUCGCAUGUUCGCACACCGAUACAUUGUAAUUUAUCGCGGUCCCGGACGGUCUGUAAUUUCCAGGGACGAAGGCGGAAGUGAGCGCGUAAUGAUGUACACAGCAACUGCUCCAUGGUUGAACCGAAGUUUUUCGGUGUUUCUUCAUGGGAAUUCGUUAAGGUAUACCGUAUUAAACGACGCCUUAAACGGUGGUGCACGAAUAAAUUUUCCCGCGUUCCAAACUUUUUCUCCCCGACUCUCGUUUCCGUCUUGGAACACAACUGAGAGUUCCAUGUAUGCAAAUUAGACAGAAAAUGAUACGAACGUUCUCUUCCAUCGUAAUUACUAUUGUAUUCGUACUUUCGUCCAAAUAUUAUUCAAAAUAGAUAAAAUUAUAUUAAUUAUCCGAAAUAUUCAAAAUAAAUCUAUUCGUUACAAAAUUAUAUUAUCAAUAAAUAUUAAACUCUCCGUUACAUCUUUUUUUUUCAACUCUAAAAAAAAACACGUUCGCAAUAUUAAGCAUUUCGGCCAAUAAUUUUUCGUGGAUCGCCAUCUUGCCUCUCGAGAUUUUCACUUCGAUGUACCAAGUGAAAUAUCCUCGGCUAUUCGCUGCCACGUACAUUGCGUCCAUCAAUACGAGGUAUACUCCCGCGAGGAGAAAGUUGGUUCGACCGAGCGGAAUUUAUAAGCAGAAAUAGAAAUUGUGCCUCUGUUCUUGUGGAAUAUCACCGUGGCCCUGUUCGUAAGUGAAAUGUUAAGCGCUCUAUGAUUACGGACAGAAUAUACGGCCAACUAUAAAAGAUUUACACCCGCGAUACUCGGUUCAAACUAUUCGGUAUCUCUCUCGGCAAAGCGAGAAAGUCGAGGCGAAAACGAGAGAACCGCGGAUAAGAAGUUGCAUAGAUGUAUAUCGAUUGCAACCGCUUCGAGGAAGAAACUUAUCUUCGAUAUCUCUUUAUUUAACGUGGGACGUUAUAUAAUGGAAGAAACGUGUCUGCGUUUCAUAUUUUAUGACAUUUUGUUUAGGAGGAAGAGUUGAAUUUUUCGCGACGCGUAAUAAUGGGUUAUCCAUCGGAUUGUCAUUCCAUUGACGAUAUUUUCGUAUUGUGCGUUUUUAUUUUUAUUUCUUUUGUAUAAAUUCUUUAUAUGGUUAGAGUUAGGUGAUGUAUAUUCAUCUGAGGAUGAAACAAUUAGAUUUUAAUUAUCGAAUAUAUCGAUUGACCACAAUUAAAAUAACUUUCAUACAUACGAUUGAAUAAAAAAUAUUAUUCGUGCGAUGAAUUAACUGAUAAAAAGGAAACAAUAGAAAAUCGGUAGAUAUACUCAUAAAAAAUAAUAAAAUUGUUAUUAAAGCGAAAUUAAAUCGAUUUCGAUGCAAUUCAAAGCUAAUUAAUUAUUCAAUCUAUCUCUUUUGUACGGUGUGCACCAAACAAUUUAUAAUUAAAUAAUUCGAAACGAAAUAAACAACGGAUCACCACUCGAAAAGCCGACAACUUAGUUAAAGCAAAUUGUUUGUCUUCCUUCUCACGUUGCAUCUGCGAAUCUGGGGGAUCGCUGUGUUUUCAACGUCAACAGUUGAAAAACGGAAAACACGAAGCUCCGUUAGUCCGUUUCCGUUCUUCUCGAGGCAAAAACUUCCACCGAUGCAACGGGGACGAGCAAAUGUUCUGACUUCUUUCGCAGUUUACCUGCUGUGAUUGGAUGUUAGGUGAAAUUUAUCGUUUAUUUUAUAACGAAUAAUCUUGGAAAUAACGCUUGGUGCAUUGAUUGCAAUCUCUCGUCUUAAGCUUCUCGGCUAUCGUGUUUCACUUGUAAUAAUUGAAGAUUGUGAGAAGAUGUUCGUGGAUGCAAUAAGAUAAAUUAGUCUGUCUCUUAGUUCGUAGUUUCUUAGUUCAAAGUUAUAGAUUAAUGUUAUACCUUACCAUAUCUAUUGAUGUUUGACUAUCCAUCAAAUUUAAUUAGAGAAAAUAACAUUUAAAUAACAUAUACUAUGUAAAUGAAAAUUUAAAAUUAUUUUUUAAUCCAAUAAUUUUUCAAAUUAUAAAUUAUAAGUUUAACAACUUUUUGUUUAUGAAAAAUUUCCAAAUUGUCGAAGAAACAAACUUGAUUUUUAUAAAUCCUUUAUUAUGCAUCUAUCAAAAAAUUAAUAAAAACAAAAUGUAUCAUUACAAAAUCAUUCAAAUUGUUUGAAUCAUCUUUAAUUUCUAUUUAAACUUUGUAUGUUUUUCAUUAAUUAUAAUAAAAUUAUUAAUAAUAAAAAAAUGAAUAUAUUUAUAUUAUAUACUAUGUAUAUACGUUUUUCUAUUAUAAAAGAAAAAUUAAAUAUUCUGCUAUCUAAUAUAUAUUUGAAAAAAGAAAAAAAAACAUGUUUCAAAUUGAAAUUUUUAAAGAGGUGCUGGUGUCGGGUCAUUCAAUGAUUUUUGUCGAUCGUUCAAGCGAAAUAUUAUUUUCCUCGACAAAUAUCAAUCCAAAGAGUUUCCUUUUGUCGAGGACAUGAUACGUUUUCGUGAGAGAUACUUGCAUAUAUUGAAAAGCGCUUUGAGCUGGGAUCCUGCACAAAAUCUCGCACGAAAAUAAGCCAGAACAAAGUAAGCCCUUCUCUGUUCUCGCUUCUUCCGCGCCUUCAUCCGCCGUUUCAUUUUCUCUUCUUAUUUCGUUCACGAUCUCCGGUUUGCUCGAACUAGGUCGAUAUGCUACGUAUAAUCAACAAACUUCAUUUUUGAACGAGACUAGUUGUCGUACUUAUAUUUUCUGGAAGGAAAAAGAAGCUUCCUUGUUUAGUUGAUAGUUAAUAAGGAUUGAGUUUU
Apis cerana (Asiatic honeybee) is the source of this 7569-nucleotide long non-coding RNA. RefSeq lists it as uncharacterized. NCBI's taxonomy places the organism in Eukaryota, Metazoa, Arthropoda, Insecta, Hymenoptera, Apidae. The record is from RefSeq and is a predicted model, not a curated record.